RNAcentral lists this ribosomal RNA (825 nucleotides) under uncultured Curvibacter sp. RNAcentral describes it as "bacterial SSU rRNA". It matches the Rfam family "Bacterial small subunit ribosomal RNA", at positions 53 to 874 of the family's 1533-position model. The record is from RNAcentral. Lineage: Bacteria; Pseudomonadati; Pseudomonadota; Betaproteobacteria; Burkholderiales; Comamonadaceae.
CCAUGCAAGUCGAACGGCAGCACGGGGGCAACCCUGGUGGCGAGUGGCGAACGGGUGAGUAAUACAUCGGAACGUGCCCAGUCGUGGGGGAUAACGUAGCGAAAGCUACGCUAAUACCGCAUACGAACUCUGGUUGAAAGCGGGGGAUCGCAAGACCUCGCGCGAUUGGAGCGGCCGAUGGCAGAUUAGGUAGUUGGUGGGGUAAAGGCUCACCAAGCCGACGAUCUGUAGCUGGUCUGAGAGGACGACCAGCCACACUGGGACUGAGACACGGCCCAGACUCCUACGGGAGGCAGCAGUGGGGAAUUUUGGACAAUGGGCGCAAGCCUGAUCCAGCCAUUCCGCGUGCAGGAUGAAGGCCCUCGGGUUGUAAACUGCUUUUGUACGGAACGAAAAGGCUUUCUCUAAUACAGAGAGCUCAUGACGGUACCGUAAGAAUAAGCACCGGCUAACUACGUGCCAGCAGCCGCGGUAAUACGUAGGGUGCAAGCGUUAAUCGGAAUUACUGGGCGUAAAGCGUGCGCAGGCGGUGAUGUAAGACAGGUGUGAAAUCCCCGGGCUUAACCUGGGAACUGCAUUUGUGACUGCAUCGCUGGAGUGCGGCAGAGGGGGAUGGAAUUCCGCGUGUAGCAGUGAAAUGCGUAGAUAUGCGGAGGAACACCGAUGGCGAAGGCAAUCCCCUGGGCCUGCACUGACGCUCAUGCACGAAAGCGUGGGGAGCAAACAGGAUUAGAUACCCUGGUAGUCCACGCCCUAAACGAUGUCAACUGGUUGUUGGGUCUUCACUGACUCAGUAACGAAGCUAACGCGUGAAGUUGACCGCCU